This is a long non-coding RNA of Beta vulgaris subsp. vulgaris (sugar beet), 1119 nucleotides long. RefSeq lists it as uncharacterized. Lineage: Eukaryota; Viridiplantae; Streptophyta; Magnoliopsida; Caryophyllales; Amaranthaceae. The record is from RefSeq and is a predicted model, not a curated record. The transcript is spliced from 3 exons.
GUUUUCUGGAAAUUCUCCUCCCUCCAAAAAGGAAAUAAAGAUGCCUUAAUUGGCUAAAAUACGCACUAAUCCGCCUUAGACUACAUGGUUUUCCUGUUUUUUGAGUGAUUUGGAAGAGUGGAGCCAAGCCAAAAUCCUGAAGGCUUUCAUCAUGAACAGGACAUGGGUGCAGUGGAUUGAGAAACUAAGCAAUCCACUAAGACCUGUGCUGAAGCUCUUUACAUUGUUUUAUUUCACAAGUACAACCAACUUCUAGGUCCCGUGGUUGUCUCUAUUCUUCAAGAAGCGAUGAGCAAUUUGGACUGAAGUUUCAAGAUUGCUUCUCAAAGAUGUUGCUUAUGGAGCCACUGCAUAUGUUUAUUAUGAUAUUCAAAGAGAGAAACUUUUGAAGAAUUAGUAAGUUGUCAUCUACAAUAAUUUUCCGUGAUUAUCAAUCUAAGUUUUGUGUGUGACUGUGAUGUGGUGUGAUAAUGUUUAUAUUCUGCAGCAAUACCACUCUAUAAUGUUUCUUGGAAUUUACAAGUUGGUUCCAACUAAUUCCGUCUUGCCUCUCUAACUCUUGGCGUAGGAUUUAACACCGACAUCUUUUAGCUAGGUUAUCUUUUGGAACUUUCAUAAUGAGUCUAGGAAAUUUAUUACUUCUAUUAAUUUGCUUGUCUAGCCACUGUAAUUUUCCUAGCUCCUGGCUUGUGUUCGUCGAAUGGUUCAUAGGUGUUGGAAUGAUUGUGUUGGUAUCUUUCGGGUUUUCUGUUUUUGGAGCUUGAAUGUUUAUUGUCCUUCUGUGACACUGAUAUUAAUAUUACAGUAUUAUAAUCUUACUUAGUUAUUGGAGAAAAAAUAAUUAAGUUUCCCACCUAUGAAUCGAUCUCUUAUUAUACUUUCUUUUCUUUUUCUUUUUUGGUUUGAUGAUAUAUUAUGAAGUAUACAUUGGCUGACCUUAGUUAAUUUCAAUGUUUUUUUUUUCAUUUUAUAUCUUAUAUUAUAAUAAUUUUCAAUUUAUAUUUAUGGAUGUAUUUUGAAGCGUAUUAGCUCAAAUGGUAGAGUAAUGUGCAGUUGCACAUGGAUGUAGGUUCAAGUCCUACAUGUGCUAUAAUAAUUGUAAUGACUUAUUUACCACCA